Clupea harengus (Atlantic herring) is the source of this 1072-nucleotide long non-coding RNA. RefSeq lists it as uncharacterized. The record is from RefSeq and is a predicted model, not a curated record. Lineage: Eukaryota; Metazoa; Chordata; Actinopteri; Clupeiformes; Clupeidae. The transcript has 2 exons.
UGUGUGGUGAGAGGGAGUGGUCUGUGUGGAGUGGAUAGUGUUUCUGACAGGGUCAGCUUGGCUUAUUGUAGCUGCAGGUGGCCCUGAUGUGGCUCAGGUAGUGAUGUGGCUCAGGUAGUGAUGUGGCUCAGGUAGGGGCCUGCCUGAUGUGGCUCAGGUAGGGUCUGAUGUGGCUCAGGUAGGGGCCUGAUGUGGCUCAGGUAGGGUCUGAUGUGGCUCAGGUAGGGGCCUGAUGUGGCUCAGGUAGUGAUGUGGCUCAGGUAGGGUCUGAUGUGGCUCAGGUAGGGGUCUGAUGUGGCCUGAUGUCGUUCAGGUAGGGGCCUGAUAUGGCUCAGGUAGGGUCUGAUGUGGCUCAGGUAGGGCCUGAUGUGGUCUGAUGUGGUUCAGGUAGGGGCCUGAUGUGGCUCAGGUAGGGUCUGAUGUGGCUCAGGUAGGUAGUGAUCUGGCUCAGGUAGGUAGUGAUGUGGCUCAGGUAGGGGCUGACAUUGCUUAGGUAGGGCUCAGGUAGGGGUCUGAUGUGGUCUGAUGUGGUUCAGGUAGGGGCCUGAUGUGGCUCAGGUAGGGUCUGAUGUGGCUCAGGUAGGUAGUGAUCUGGCUCAGGUAGGGUCUGAUGUGGCUCAGGUAGGUAGUGAUGUGGCUCAGGUAGGGGCUGAUAUUGCUCAGGUAGGGCUCAGGUAGGGGUCUGAUGUGGCUCAGGUAGGGCCCGAUUUGGCUCAGGUAGGUAGUGAUGUGGCUCAGGUAGGGUCUGAUCUGACUCAGGUAGUGAUGUGGCUCAGGUAGUGAUCUGGCUCAGGUAGGGUCUGAUCUGACUCAGGUAGUGAUGUGGCUCAGGUAGUGAUGUGGCUCAGGUAGUGAUCUGGCUCAGGUAGUGAUGUGGCUCAGGUAGUGAUCUGGCUCAGGUAGUGAUUUGGCUCAGGUAGGGCCUGAUGUGGCUCAGGUAGUGAUGUGGCUCAGGAAGAGCCUAAUAUGGCAGCUGGCAUCACAGCAGAUAGCAGGAGAAAGCAGAGACCCAGAGAGGCAGUGUUCUCCCCAUGGUGUUUUUAUUAUGUGCUAAUAAACUUUGAUCAGAACA